RNAcentral lists this unclassified non-coding RNA (354 nucleotides) under soil metagenome. RNAcentral describes it as "partial contains 5.8S ribosomal RNA, internal transcribed spacer 2, and large subunit ribosomal RNA". The stretch from base 1 to 119 matches the Rfam family "5.8S ribosomal RNA", at positions 35 to 154 of the family's 154-position model. The record is from RNAcentral.
GAUGAAGAACGUAGCGAAAUGCGAUAAGUAAUGCGAAUUGCAGAAUCCGUGAGUCAUCGAAUCUUUGAACGCACAUUGCGCCCUUUGGUAUUCCGAAGGGCAUGCCUGUUCGAGCGUCAUUAUCACCACUCAAGCCCGGCUUGCUGUUGUUGGCAGCGCAGCCGGUCAACCGGCUACGCUCCACCCAAAGAUAAUGACGGCGUCUGCGAGGACUCCUGUACAUUGAGCUUUCGGGCACGUACAUGGCUAGAAGUCCAGGCGCCGGUCGACGUCCUCCGGGACACUUUUUACCAAGGUUGACCUCGGAUCAGGUAGGGAUACCCGCUGAACUUAAGCAUAUCAAUAAGCGGAGGA